UCAUAUCCGGAGGUGGAGGGAAUGGUGCUGGAGUUACAGACGAGAGGGCUGCCAAGCCAGUGACCAAGACAUUACAACAUUUGUAAAUGUCACGUUUCUAAUGUGUUUCAACAUUUGUAGCCGCCACACAAUUGAUAUUUCGUAGAAACACCCCAGGACAAUUACCAGACACGUUUGUAGCAUCCAAAUGUGGAAUUUUAAGCCAACGGAUGAUCUUUUCCCCAUCUUAACCAAGCCAUAGCAUGAGCAAAGCACUGUUGAUAACAACAUAAACUUGAACACUGAACCAGAAGAAACGUUACAACAUAAAGAAGUGUAAAGUUUCAAAAACAGGACCCAUAUGCCAAUACACGGGCAGAAAAACCUGGAUGACAACAGGGCUGACGUGAGGACGACAACAGACGAAUGAGGGAACAAUUCAGGCUUAAAUACGAAGACUUGCCCACAGGCACCAAAACGAUCAUUUUUUUCCCCCCCCCGCUGUAGUUCACAUUCCAAGCCUCAGGGUGGCGCUUGAAAUUCACCAAAAACGGAGAAUAAAAGACAGAGCAUGCGCAUAAAGCUUGCGCGCUGUUUACAAACAGACAGUAGGAGAAUCCGAAAACAAGAAGAAGACGACGAAAAUGGCUAGUGCAAGGAAACCAGAAGCAUUUGUGUGGAUCGAUAAUGAGGUCGAACUGCUGCUGCGACUCAUACUCAACUACAAUGCGAGUAAGUUGCAAGAAACACGAAAAAUAAGCAGUAGACCGCCAUUGUUGUUGUUGUUGUUGUUGUUGUUGUUAUGAGACGUCGCGGGCUUCAAAGAAGGCUAGCGGUCGAGGGGAGGGGCGAUGGCGUCAUCGUUUGGAAAAGUAUACGGAUUCGCCGUCCACACAAGAACGGGAGGGCUGCGUUUUCGGAUUUUUCCACCCUGAGGCCCCUUCCACACGGGCGAAAACGAUCUGUUUUUCUCCGUCUAUCUCGUCAUCGUUUUAAGAAUAUUUGCGUCCAUACGGCUCCACUGAAAACGACCGAAAACGCUGUAGUUCAUCUUCCAGACCUAUAGGUGGCGCUUGACAUUCACCAAAAACUGAGAAGAAGACAGGGAGCAUGCGCAUUAAGCUUGCGCGCUGUAAACAGACAGUAGACGGAGAAACCGAACACAACAAGAAGCAAAAGAGGAUGAAAAUGGCUAGUGCAUGGAAACCAGAAUCGUUUGUGUGGACGUAAUGAAGUCGAACUGCAGCUGCGACUUACACUCAACUACAAGAGAGAAUUACACGAUCCAGAAAAAAACACAUGAAGUAAAAGAGUUGUUGUCACAUGUUGUUGUGUAAAGCAGCGUUCCUUACACCAUGGACUUCAGAUAAAUAAAUUUGAGCUCAACAAGCUGACUUCUCAGACAACUUUUGCAGCUCAAACAACUAGACAACUGACAUGUGACAACUAGAUGGAUAAAUGUGUGACCCGAUCUGAGAGGUGCUCUGUGUGAGAUCGCAGCUGCAGAAAACAGCCCAGUGACGAUGCCUUCAGGGCCCGUGAAGAGUGCACUUGAAGCAAAUGCCGGGUCUGGAGACAGCCUUGAUGAAGUGGAUGAAGUGCGAAGCUGAUAGCGGCAGUGAUUGGCCAAACACAAGUCUCCCUUUGGUCUCUCUUAAAGGUUAAGAACAGUGUGUGUAAUUUAUGUUUUAUUCAUAUUUCUGACUUUUUGCAAAGAAAUCUUGUUGGAUCUGCUUUGAAAAAAAAAAUCAGAAAUUAGCUGUGAUUUAUUUUGGCCCGCGAGAGGGGAAAAAGUGUAAGGGUGACCACCAAACAGCAUGGUAAAGUACAAUAAAGCAGCUCUGCUCUAGUCUAGCAGAGGGAUAGAGCAGAGCUGCACGACGUGGCUCUCGCCGAGCGAACGCGGAGGAUUAAGUAAGUUUCCCUUUGAGAAAUUAACUACGACACAAACUGGAGAUAAAAACGAAGAGACAGAAUAACGAGGCCUGUUUGCCUAUUCAGAGGGUUUAGCCAUGUAUUAAAAAUCAUACCGUUAAGCUUCCUGACAGAUGCUAAUGAAGUGAUGUUUACAUUUUUGAUUCGCUGCCUAAACAAAGAUAAGACAUGCUCUCGGAAAACAGCAAGCCCCGCAAUCCAAACACAUCCAUUGAGCCUGU
Acanthopagrus latus (yellowfin seabream) is the source of this 2135-nucleotide long non-coding RNA. RefSeq lists it as uncharacterized. NCBI's taxonomy places the organism in Eukaryota, Metazoa, Chordata, Actinopteri, Spariformes, Sparidae. The transcript has 5 exons. The record is from RefSeq and is a predicted model, not a curated record.